AGUGAACGCUGGCGGUGGGCCUAACACAUGCAAGUCGAACGAGUGGAGGACGGGUGGGGGAUACAGCGGAAUCUACCCUGUCGUCGGGGAUAAGGGGGGGAAACUUACGCUAAUACCGCAUACGGUUGCAUGAGCCGCGGUCGGAUUAUCUAGUUGGCGGGGUAAAGGCCCACCAGGGCGACGCUCCGUAGCUGGUCUGAGAGGCUGAUCAGCCACACUGGAACUGAGACACGGUCCAGACUCCUACGGGAGGCAGCAGUAGGGAAUAUUGGACAAUGGGCGCAAGCCUGAUCCAGCCAUACCGCGUGGGUGAAGAAGGCCUUCGGGUUGUAAAGCCCUUUUGUUGGGAAAGCGGUACCCAAAGAGUAAGCACCGGCUAACUUCGUGCCAGCAGCCGCGGUAAUUC
Molecule: ribosomal RNA, 406 nt
Filed under: uncultured bacterium
Lineage: Bacteria
Description: partial 16S ribosomal RNA
Rfam family: Bacterial small subunit ribosomal RNA
Source: RNAcentral